RNAcentral lists this ribosomal RNA (202 nucleotides) under Trichocladium sp. RNAcentral's name for it is "partial large subunit ribosomal RNA". Lineage: Eukaryota; Fungi; Ascomycota; Sordariomycetes; Sordariales; Chaetomiaceae. The record is from RNAcentral.
AAGCGCUUGCAGCCAGACGUGCCCGUAGUUGCUCAUCGGGGGUUCUCCCCCGUGUACUCUUCUAUGGGCAGGCCAGCAUCAGUCCGGGCGGUUGGAGAAAGACCUGUGUCAUGUAGCUGUUUUCGGGCAGUGUUAUAGCCCAUUGUGUAAUACCCUGUGGUGGACUGAGGUUCGCGCAUCUGCAAGGAUGCUGGCGUAAUGG